AGGAAGCAUUGAAGACUCUAAAUUGGGCAGCGAAUAAUGUGAGCGUUUGUAUUAUAUUGUCUUUCACAUUUUCUUUUAGUACUAACAUCAUUAAAUAGAAUGUAACGAGUUAAACUGUGCAUCAUGAUUAAUUCUUUGUGGCUUCUUCUGGUAUGCACGCUUUGGCCACCAGGGGCAGUAUAAUACAGUCAUGCAGACAAACAAAAUUGAGUUUCACAACUACUGUGACUCAGUGUGCUGCAGUAACAGUUUUUUUUUGGAUAAAGAAUAUAUCCCUGUGAGUAAUCACAAAGUAUGUGAAAUCAGGCUUCAAAAUGGUCAAGAAUUGAGACAUUCUUUCAGCUUCCAGACGCUUCGGGCGUGUCGCUAAAUGCUCUCAAAAUCCGGCCUCCCUGGAACUGUCAGCUGUCAAUCAAAGACGUACUUCCUCUCACGGCUCCUCCUAAGCAGGGAGAGAUGUUCACACGGGCCACAGAAAGACAUUUUGGGCUGGGCACCUCUUUGUCUACGUUGAAAUUCAGUGGGCCAUUAAUCGACGGUGUAAAGAGUCAUUAUCCACAACACGCCGCAAGGAGGAGGAGGGGGAGAAAUCACGCACUGCUGUGGCCGCUGAGGUUCAGCUUUCAGCGGCCACAGACGGAUGAUUUUUUUCCCCCCUCUCCCUCCUCCUGCUCUCCCUGGAAUGUGUGUGGCUGAAGGCUCUAAAGCCGUUGCACUGGAUCCUCUGGUUGCUUUUCCAACCGCUGGCAAGGUGGGAAGGGGCGGCUGCUCCUGUCCGGUUCGCGGCUGCCUCACAACGCAACAUGCGUGGGCCCAGACAACAGACACACUGUAGCCCAAAUAAGACAUUACACUUCAGGCAAGAUAUAUUUUUUCUAGUUGUGGGCAUAGUUUGAUGGCCAAUUCCACACUACGCUCAAGUUAAUGAAUGAUGAAGUGGCAAUUCUGCUGAAUGGCCACUGCAUGGAAUAAUGGCACUUGGUGGAUACAGUAUAUAGGGGGGGAGGGCCUCAUGGUAGAAAGUACAGGACAUCCUCGAGUUACGACGCACUCGACCUACGACGUUUCGACUUUACGACGCCCGUGCCUCGUCCGCCAUUUUGUCCCAGCACCAUAGUGUUUCUGCUUAGCUAGUGCAUAGUGCUUGUCUGUGUUUGUGCGGCGGGAGUAUCUUUGCCUUUUUCGCCCUCCUUUUUUCACACCCUCAACAGUAAUGGUAAGUACAGCAUCUUAUUUAUUAUUUUUAAUGUAUUUUAGUUUCUUUAUACGAAGUGUUAACCUUUCCUGCUACGGUCACCUGACCGUGGUUGGGAGACGCAGGGGUUAACUCCCUUCUCCGGCGGCAACAAUAAAGGCACGAAGCACCGAUUUGCUGCUUUAAUGGCUUUAUUAGCUCCUCUGCACAUUCAACGUCAACGGGUCCUCUGCUAAUCGCUACUCUUCCCCGGUCGCCGUCACUACACUUGUCACGGUACACACUUACACCGGUACGCACUCCUUCCUUUUUCGCAGUCCCGCCGGACGACGCCUACGCAGUCCUAUCUCACUCACACAUCGACGCCCACACACACGGAUCACGUGGGACAAUACCCGUAACAGAAAUAUUUCGCCGUAAAUUUCGACUUUAACGGUGAAAUCUGACUUAAGCGGAAAAUCGUGUUACGUCGCCAGCGUAAGAACAGAACUCGUUCGUAAAUCGAGGAAUUCCUGUAUAUGCCCCAGCCCCGUGACAUCACGGAACUAGUUUUUCGUCCUGCCCAAAAGAGAUGAAGAAAAACGGUUUUAAGCAAUAUCACAACAAUUCAGUCCUAUAUUGUUCUCAGUGUUUACACAUUUGCAGCCCGUACCUUCCAACAUACUUAAUGUACAGUAUUUAGAAACAAAACAUGGAUUUGCAUUUGGUUGCACUUUAAAACACUGCCGAAGGAGUUAAUAAAGGUGUUAUUAUGAUGUUUGUUAUGAGUACAGUUUUUUGUUCAAAACUGUGGGUAAUGUUACAGUGGCUGACAAUACAUACUGUAUAUGGCAUGUUUCGCUAUUGCAAUGCAUGUCAUUGCUAUUCAAAGAAACAUCUGUCAUUUUACAGCACGCCGAGGCUGAGCGUGGCUCUCAUGGUGCAGGAAUGUGUACGACGCGUCCGGACAUCUUGAUUUUGAGCCAGCCAGAUGUCCCAGGUGAACUGUCGGCGUGCCCCAUCAUCCCCCACCGCGCGCUCCCCCACCGUCGGUACAGUGCAGAGGGAUCCCAAGGCGUUGUCAGGCCACGCGGGAGACAUAGUCGGUCCAGCAAGUCCUGGGGCGUCCCCGGGGCCUCCUCCCAGUGGGACGUGCCUGGAACACCACACCAGGGAGGCUUCCGAACCAGAUGCCCAAACUACCUCAUCUGGCUCCUCUCGAUAUGGAGGAGCAGCAGCUCAACUCUGAGGGCCUCCCAGAUGAGCAACCUUCUCACUCAUCUCCAAGCGAGAGCCCGGACAUCCACCUUGCGGAGGAACCUUACACCCUGACAGUCUAUCCCGGGAAGGCAGCAUGUUGCUCUUUACAGAUACCUCGCUCAGAGCCCAAUUGGGGAAAGCUGGGAGAGAUUGGGUGGAACAAAUCAUUUUUUAUGCAAGGGCGUUGAAUUGAUUGCAGCUGGACUGUUGUGGCUGCCUUAGAAGACGUUUCGCCUCAGCCAGAGGCGGUUUCUGAUAUGGGCGGUAUGUGCAGCCGCUCAGGGCGGCAUUGUGUGGGGGGUGGCAUCCCCCAGCCAAAAACCCAGACUUCCCUCUCUCCAGCCACUUGGUUCAUCUCUUCCCUGAGGAUCCCGGCCAAUCACGGAUCACGUUCCCUGGCCAAUUGGGAGAAAUACUGUCUCCAGUGUUGUCCCGGGUCUUCCCUGGAGCCUCCUCCUGGUGUGUCGUGCCCGGAACAUCCUAACGAGGUGCCUUAUGACAUCGCCCAUCUCUCACUGACAAUGCCGUGCUUUCGUCCAUUUCAAGGAAACUCAAUAAUUCUGCCGCCAACAAACAGCAUGGUCUCCUUGACCUUGAGGCAAUUCCCCUACCACUUUACAGCUGAAUGGAAUAUUAAUGAGGGAGUUUUCUUUGUAGACUGACGAUGGCCUCUAUGCCUACCAGCGCUCCCUUUUUUGCAUUCCAAAAGAAUGAUACCAUACGUGGUUUGGGGUGUGCCUCCAAGUUGGAGCAUAAAUAGUUGAGUUUUCCACACAAACACUGGCUGGUGCAUCUACGCCUAACUAAGCCUUGUUGCAUGAACUGAUGAAGCCUGCUCGAAUGGGAGGUGAAACGUUUUCUAAGACAAACAACAGUCCAGCUGCGAUCAAUUCAACACCCUGAGAAUUAAAGGACCUGGAUGAAGGAGAAUAUUCAGAAGCAUCCUGGAUGAAGGAGAAUAUUCAGAAGCAUCCUAACGAGAUGCCCAAGCCACCUCGUCUGGCCUCUCAAUGCGCAGUCACAACGGCUCUAUUCUGAGCCCCUCCCAGAUGUUUUUGUGAUUUUAUUUCAAUGUUUAUGCUUUUGUCAUGUUAUUAGAUAAAUAUUGAUUCUGAACUGCUCCAGGUGAUGCUUGAGGCACAAUUCCAAGCUUUCAUAUUGCCUUUUGGGAUCAUAUUGAUGGUUUCUAUAAUUGGGAUGCGAUGGUGGUGGUAGUAAGAGGUGUCUUAAGUGCACAGCCUGCCACUGUUAUGUAUAACACCUCAUCAUGUCACAAGUCACGUCAUGAGUCCCAAGUCAAAGUCGAGUCUCAAGUCUUUUAUUUUUAUGUCAAGUCAAGCUACAAGUCAUCAUAACAAUGAAUUGCAAUGACAAAAGUCCCCAUCUUUGCUCAUUUGUUCAGCAUUUGCAAUAUCUCCGGCCUCUGUCACGCUCGGCGGCAGACAAAGGAGCAUUUCCGACGACACAUCCAGGGGGUUGACUGACAUAUGAUAAAC
Molecule: long non-coding RNA, 3930 nt
Organism: Phyllopteryx taeniolatus (common seadragon)
Lineage: Eukaryota; Metazoa; Chordata; Actinopteri; Syngnathiformes; Syngnathidae
Exons: 3
Source: RefSeq, a predicted model, not a curated record